AUCUGAUUGCUUUAUAAUCAGUAAGACCUGCUCAAUGAAUUAAUUCUUUAAUAGCCGCGAUUUACGUGCUAAGGUAGCAUAAUCAAUUGCCUUUUAAUUAAAGGCUGGAAUGAAAGGUCCUACAUAUAAAAUCCUUUAUUAAAAUUAUUUCUUUAAAUUGAUUUAUAAAUAAAAAAGUUUAUAUAAUAUAGGAGGACGACAAGACCCUGUCGAGCUUCACUUUUUAGUUUCACUGGGGAGGUGAAAAAAUUAUGUCUUUUAACUUUCUAAAAAAGAAAAAUCCAGAAAGAAUUAUAACCUAGUUACCGCAGGGAUAACAGCACAAUUAAUUUUAGGAGACCUUAUCUUAAAAUUAGAUUAUGACCUCGAUGUUGAAUAAAUUACCUUUAAGAGAAGAAGCUUAAAAGGAGAGUCUGUUCGACUUUUAAAAAUUUACA
RNAcentral lists this ribosomal RNA (437 nucleotides) under Conothele sp. MY2070. RNAcentral's name for it is "partial 16S ribosomal RNA". It matches the Rfam family "Archaeal large subunit ribosomal RNA", at positions 1908 to 2669 of the family's 2987-position model. Lineage: Eukaryota; Metazoa; Arthropoda; Arachnida; Araneae; Ctenizidae. The record is from RNAcentral.